Molecule: long non-coding RNA, 294 nt
Organism: Helicoverpa zea (corn earworm)
Lineage: Eukaryota; Metazoa; Arthropoda; Insecta; Lepidoptera; Noctuidae
Exons: 2
Source: RefSeq, a predicted model, not a curated record
GCCGAAAGUUUUGUGAUUGUAGUUGCGCUCCUCGUGUUUUUUUUAGAAAAUGGAAGGAAAUUUAAAUCAAAUUGAUAUUGUUGAGCCAGAUAAAGCACGUAAAAGAAACAGAUUGAAGAGUAUAGCGAAGAAAGCAAGCAAAACGAAGUUAAAGUAAAUAAAAUUCUUUUGUUUAUAAGUAAUUAGUAAUACCGAAGAAUACAUGAUGGAUGAGGUGUUAGAUUUUGUGUAAUUUGUGUAUGACUUAUUUUGUAAUAAUUAUGUAUCUAUGGAAUACAUAUUUUUUCUAUUUGA